GAUGAACGCUGGCGGCGUGCCUAAUACAUGCAAGUCGAGCGAACGGACGAGAAGCUUGCUUCUCUGAUGUUAGCGGCGGACGGGUGAGUAACACGUGGAUACCCUCCCUAUAAGACUGGGAUAACUUCGGGAAACCGGAGCUAAUACCGGAUGAUAUUUUGAACCGCAUGGUUCAAAAGUGAAAGACGGUCUUGCUGUCACUUAUAGAUGGAUCCGCGCUGCAUUAGCUAGUUGGUAAGGUAACGGCUUACCAAGGCAACGAUGCGUAGCCGACCUGAGAGGGGGAUCGGCCACACUGGAACUGGACCACGGUCCAGACUCCUACGGGAGGCAGCAGUAGGGAAUGGUCCGCAAUGGGCGAAAGCCUGACGGAGCAACGCCGCGUGAGUGAUGAAGGUCUUCGGAUCGUAAAACUCUGUUAUUAGGGAAGAACAUAUGUGUAAGUAACUGUGCACAUCUUGACGGUACCUAAUCAGAAAGCCACGGCUAACUACGUG
Molecule: ribosomal RNA, 497 nt
Filed under: uncultured bacterium
Lineage: Bacteria
Description: partial 16S ribosomal RNA
Rfam family: Bacterial small subunit ribosomal RNA
Source: RNAcentral